This is a long non-coding RNA of Aedes albopictus (Asian tiger mosquito), 691 nucleotides long. RefSeq lists it as uncharacterized. Lineage: Eukaryota; Metazoa; Arthropoda; Insecta; Diptera; Culicidae. The transcript is spliced from 3 exons. The record is from RefSeq and is a predicted model, not a curated record.
AUUCACACCACCGCGCCUUUACUGCCUUCUUUGAACCACCCUAAUGUCUGACGGCACCGAACUACAAUCGAGACGGUCAUCUGCACUGGGUGGUAUUGAACACAACACGGAGUGACAGUCUUCACUGUCACGCGGUGAGUCAACGAAAAACGUACCUAAAUGAUAUGUCAAUUGUCAUAUAGUGUAGAAAUGCUAAGACUCGCCAAGAUUAAGUGCAUUUAUUUUGUGCAAAUUUACUACAGAUUAUUGCUUAAACAAAGUGAAUUCCUUAUUAUUCUUACAAGAUACGUUGAAAUCCAACACCAAUAGUUCUAUAACCUAAAAGUCGCAUACACAGAAAUUACAUCUGCUACUACUGCAAAGUACGGCAGGUUAAACAGUCGACUGUUGCGACUAAGUACGGAACGUGUUUUGCACAAAACAAUCGAUGCCCAGGACACAAUACGAGUAGAUUUGACUUGACUUGACACGGAGGGAAACGAUACAGCAAAUUGGGACUAAACGUAAGUUUAUUUACAAAAGAACAUGAAACAAGUACUUAUAACUAUUAUUAUCUACACACACAUGAAUUCACACGUUAAAAUUGUAUAAUUUCUCAGGAUAAUAAUAAUUCAUCCGGAUUGUAACCAAACCAUAAGCUGCGGUUGUUUCAUUUCCGGUAUUAUUAUUGCGGAACCUCCUGAAUCUGUUG